GGGGGUGAAAUGGAUUCGACGGGGAUCAGAAGCCUGUGGCGCAUGUCGAGGUCCGGCGGCCUCGCUAAACAGCCGGAAAACACAACUGCCGAGCCUGAGCUCGCACUCGCAGCGUAAGCUGCGCGUCCCCACCCGCUGGUGCCUACGGCACGGGUGACGGGCGUCAUCGACCGUAGGAUGCCGUCCGCGGAUGCCCCGACGCGGACCUAAGCCAAGGGGCUCCAGACCACGCCGUUGCCCUGUCUGUGGGACGGGCGUGGUCGACACCCACCACAGACUACGCAUGUAGGGCCACAGUAGCGGAAGGUUUCCGGACGCGGGUUCGAGUCCCGCCACCUCCACCA
Molecule: transfer-messenger RNA, 344 nt
Filed under: Nitrospirae bacterium CG2_30_70_394
Lineage: Bacteria; Pseudomonadati; Nitrospirota
Also listed under: 8 other names
Rfam family: transfer-messenger RNA
About the family: Bacterial tmRNA, also known as 10Sa RNA or SsrA, is named for its dual tRNA and mRNA-like properties. Its role is to liberate the mRNA from a stalled ribosome. To accomplish this part of the tmRNA is used as a reading frame that ends in a translation stop signal.
Source: RNAcentral